AACGCACAUUGCGCCCCCUGGCAUUCCGGGGGGCAUGCCUGUCCGAGCGUCAUUUCUGCCCUCAAGCGCGGCUUGUGUGUUGGGUGUGGUCCCCCCGGUCUUGGGGGGACCUGCCCGAAAGGCAGCGGCGACGUCCCGCCUAGGUCCUCGAGCGUAUGGGGCUUUGUCACCCGCUCGGGAGGGGCCUGCGGGCGUUGGUCACCCACCAUAUCUUUUUUUACGGUUGACCUCGGAUCAGGUAGGAGUUACCCGCUGAACUUAA
RNAcentral lists this unclassified non-coding RNA (262 nucleotides) under uncultured Talaromyces. RNAcentral's name for it is "sequence contains ITS2". Lineage: Eukaryota; Fungi; Ascomycota; Eurotiomycetes; Eurotiales; Trichocomaceae. The record is from RNAcentral.